Molecule: ribosomal RNA, 480 nt
Filed under: Conchiformibius sp. canine oral taxon 289
Lineage: Bacteria; Pseudomonadati; Pseudomonadota; Betaproteobacteria; Neisseriales; Neisseriaceae
Description: bacterial SSU rRNA
Rfam family: Bacterial small subunit ribosomal RNA
Source: RNAcentral
GAGUUUGAUUAUGGCUCAGAUUGAACGCUGGCGGCAUGCUUUACACAUGCAAGUCGGACGGCAGCACGGGUGCUUGCACCUGGUGGCGAGUGGCGAACGGGUGAGUAAUGCAUUGGAACGUACCGAGUAGUGGGGGAUAACUGUCCGAAAGGAUAGCUAAUACCGCAUACGACCUCAGGGUGAAAGCAGGGGACCUUAGGGCCUUGCGCUAUUUGAGCGGCCAAUGUCUGAUUAGCUGGUUGGUGGGGUAAAGGCCUACCAAGGCGACGAUCAGUAGCGGGUCUGAGAGGAUGAUCCGCCACACUGGGACUGAGACACGGCCCAGACUCCUACGGGAGGCAGCAGUGGGGAAUUUUGGACAAUGGGCGCAAGCCUGAUCCAGCCAUGCCGCGUGUCUGAAGAGGGCCUUCGGGUUGUAAAGGACUUUUGUACGGGAAGAAAAGGUUGUGGAUAAUAACCCAUGAACUGAUGAACGNAACC